UUAGUAGCACUAGGUUAAGGGAAAAUCCUUGCAUGUGUGCAUCCCUCCAGCAGGCUGAUCUGUAGGAUUUUCUGUGCUCUCUCUGGAGGCAUUAGGUUCAAACAGGGUAAUCCAAUUUUUUGAGAAUUGCAGCAAUGAGUUUGAGGCUUCUUGGAUGAGACACAACAAAAUAAGAAUCUGAGGUGGUCACAGUUUAAGCAAGUUUUGAUCUUCCCUCUGUGUUCUUUUCAGACAGGCUCUAUCAAAUGCUGUGUAAACAUUCCUUGAUUAUUACUGUGUAACAUACAUUCUAGGUAAAACCUUGUGAUCAUCUCUGUAUGACUUGAAUUACCAGUUCUUUUGCUUUUCGUUAUUCUCUCUAACACUUUUCCUCAGUUUCUGAGGUGGUCAUACUUUUGCAUCCCAGCUGAAAGAAUAGAGACCCUGGUCAGGGUCCAAAGCUGUUUAAGUCUCAAAAAAGGCCAGUAGCAUUAAAGCACUUGUCUUCAUCCUUUCUGUAGGAUUGCCCUUCCUUUGAAUCUCUGUCGUUGUGCAGUUGCUGGUACAUCCUGUUCUAAGGUGUACAGUACCCUCUAUCCUAUCUAUAUAUAGGAACAGAAUGAGGCAUGUAAAAGCAGUUUCUUUCUUGGUGUUCUUUAUACCAGGAAUCAAGCUGGGUGCUGUCAUGAUGUACUUUGAUAAAUGCUAGUCAGAGAAAGGGGUUUUUAAAACCCAUUGGUGAUAUGACAUAUUGUCGUCUCAGUUUCCAAAUCACAAGUCCUUUGGUUGAUAAUAAAAUUGUUGCUUCUGGUUUUUUGUAAUUAUUAAGUCUUAGAGAUGAGAGUGAAGGCCAACCCUCUUCAGUGUUAUCAGUAAUGGAAAUGUCUGCAGAGGAAUUGUGGCAAAUGCAUGCCUCCCAGCUUUCAGUGGUUUCAGGUAUAGUGAUCUGGAACUUGGUAAGCACCAUGGCUGCACUUUGGUGUCAGCUCUGUGAUGUAAGAAAAUUAGUGUUUCCACUAUGGCAAUGUUUUCCUAGUGAGCUCAUAGUGCUAGAAAUUGCACAUGGGUGACUGGCACUCAGUUGUAUCUGAAGGGUUGGCAGCUGUUGUGACUCUAGUGCUACUUUAGGCUGCAUUGUUGAGGUGGUGUGGAGGGCAGAGUUGAGGAGAGAGAUAAGACACAUCCAGCGUGUGCAAGAGCCGCUGUAUGCAGCUGUCAAGCCCAAGAAGAUUUUGUUACUACGUGAGACAAGCAAUGCAGCAAAAAGAAUUCUGAUAGAAAUGACAGUGAACAGUCAUAUGGCUCCAGAGGCAAGCUGUGUGGAUUGUUUGCAUCAUGGAAUCAUAGAAGCACAGAAUAGUUUGGGUUGGCAGCGACCCUAAAGAUCACCUAGUUCCACCCUACCUGGCACCUUCUUCUAGAGCAGGUUGUUAAUAAAG
This is a long non-coding RNA of Passer domesticus (house sparrow), 1418 nucleotides long. RefSeq lists it as uncharacterized. The record is from RefSeq and is a predicted model, not a curated record. The transcript is spliced from 3 exons. NCBI's taxonomy places the organism in Eukaryota, Metazoa, Chordata, Aves, Passeriformes, Passeridae.